AAAUUCGUAACUUUAAGGCCUCAAACCCUAGUUUUCUUCUCCUCCUUUCCUCUCUAUCGGCUGCCUCUUCUUUUUAUUUUCUUUCCCUUUCUGCUCCUGUUACUGUCGACACGUACCGACUGCGAUUCUCGAGUCCCUUUUGCUAACUUUGCUCUCUCCUCCAUUGCUCAUUCUCACCUGCCUUCGUCACGAUGUCACUCUCUCGCUUGCACUCAUAGUCACCUCUCUCCCCUCUUAGUGGUCUCGUUCAGAGGCCAUCUAUCUUUAAGGGCUCUCGCUCAGCUCUCCUCUCUCACUUACUUCGAUUUCUUCAUUUAUAAGAGUGCUUGAAAUAUUCAAAUAUAUUCAAACAAUCAAGGUUUUGGAACUGUUUUGUGAUUUAUGGAUGUGAGUUGUUGUUGGGUUUGUAAUUUCUUUGGUUGUGAGUAUGAUUUAUAGUUAUGUUUUGUAAUUUUAUGGAUUUUUAUGGGAUUGUAAAAAAGAUAAUAGAUCUUGCAUUUUUGGUUUGUAAGUUAGGUUUUGCAAUGUUUUGACUUGCUUUGUUGCUAAUGUUUUGCAAUGUUUCUCCACGCUCUCUGGUAAUAAGGAAAGUUAUAGAGAAAUAAACAGAAAAUAAGCAGGAAAAGUUUGUUAAUACAGUUGUUCAUAAGAUGUGAUGGCAGUCGUUUAUUGGUAGGGUUAGGUGAGCAGUUACAUCUAACUGUGUAUAUUUAUGUGAAAUGAAAUGCACAUCUCUCUCUCAUUCUCUUGUCUUGUCUCGUUGCACUGGUGAGAAAGCCUUGCUUACACUUAGCAGUGGAUUGAUUAUCAGAAUUCGGUUUUUCACGUUAUCAUAAUGAUCACCUAGUCCCAUUAGGAACCGCAUGACCUUGUCAUUAUUGUCCCUUUUAUUCAUGAGUUUAGUUGCUCCACAAGUGCACUCCGGCUGUGGUAUUAAGCAAGUUAGUUCAUUCCAAAGCUUCUUAAGCUUAGUGAAGUACAGUGAAAUUGACAUAUUUCCUUAAGAAAACAUGCUCAUUUCUCUCUUUAUUUGGUAGAGCAUUGGUCCAUUGCUCUCACCAAAUCUCUCUUCAAUUUCAGUCCAUAAUUCUCUAGAAUUAGUGACAUAGAGGAAAGCUUCUACUAGAUCUUUUGCAAUUGCAUUUAAGAUCCAUGACAUAACAUGCUAUCAACUUUAUGCCAUUGUUCAUACUCCUCUGGAUCUAUGUUAGGUUGUUUUAUCUUGCCGUUUAUGAAACCUAAUUUAUCUUUAGCAUGUAAUGCAAGAAUCAUGGAUAUACUCCAUGACAAGUAGUUAGGUCCGUUCAGAGGAGCAGGUUCAUAGCUCUGGCUCCAGCUUCAUUGCUAGUCGCUGGAUCUCUUAUUACAAUUGUCUCCAUCAUUAUGAUCUAAGAGUUUGUGGUGAGAAAAAAACUUGAUCAGCAGUAGCAAGAGGAUAAAAAGGCACAGAGGUAAGAGAUUAAAAAAAGGAAAGGAUUAGUGUUUGGAAAUGAGCAGCGCCGGAGUUUUCAGUAUUCUCCAGUGUGACUACACAGAUAAUGUUGCUCUGAUACCAUGUUACAUACCAAAGGAGAGAGGAGAGAAAAGCGAAUGAGAGAGAGAUGCAUUUCAUUUCACAUGAAUAGGUAGAUAUAUAUAGUUAGCUGUAACUGCUCGACUAACCUUACCAAUCAAUGAGUGCCAACACAUCUUCUAAACAGCUGUAUUAACAAACUUUUCCCGCCUAUUUUCUAUUUAUUUAUCUAUAACUUACAUGUACUAUAAUUUUACAAGAUGAGAUAAUUAUAUUUGAGAUCUAAAUAUAUUUAAAAGAUAAAAAAUGAGUAUUUAUAAGUAAGUAAAAAUCUUUUGAUUUAUAUACUUUUUUUACAACAAUCUCUCACAUAUUUCAAAAGAUUUUUCAUCGCUGGGUUUAAGAUUUGAGUGUAUAUAUUUUGAAUUCAGUGUCUUUUAGACUAUAAAUCAGACCUAAAUUAAUAAGACUUAACAUACAAAGUAAUUGCUGAAAUUUUUACUUAUAUGAAUUAAAAACUCUUUUUGGUGAGCUAAUAUUUUAUUAAUCUCAUAAUACUUUAUAGAUCUUAUGCACGCUCAGAAGUUCACAAAUGCUAUAGAGAUUAUGCACGCUCAGAAGUUCACAAAUGCUAUAGAGAUUAUAACACAAUCUCAUAGUAGCAGCCUUAUCCACACUUAUAUAGGUGAUAUCAAGUGUAUACUACAAUUCGUACAACAUCCAUAAGAAAUAUAAAUAUCAUUAAGAAAUAUAAAUAUCAUUAAGAGAUUUAUGCUUAUCCUCUCAUUUAAUGCAAUCUCACACUUUUUACAUUAUAGGAAGGAACAACGAUAAAUAGAGCUAGCAGAACUAAUAAAUGGCUUCUUAUUACUCAUAUGAACCUUUUUCAUGGAUCUCCAAUAAAAAAAAUUGAGUUUCUAUCACUAUUAAUUUCACAUUGGUUCAAGUUUCAUUCCUCUUGAUGUUU
RNAcentral lists this long non-coding RNA (2480 nucleotides) under Manihot esculenta (cassava). Its description in RNAcentral is "long non-coding RNA (MESC_LNC004844)". The record is from RNAcentral. Lineage: Eukaryota; Viridiplantae; Streptophyta; Magnoliopsida; Malpighiales; Euphorbiaceae.